RNAcentral lists this long non-coding RNA (549 nucleotides) under Capsella rubella. RNAcentral's name for it is "long non-coding RNA (CRUB_LNC005205)". The record is from RNAcentral. Lineage: Eukaryota; Viridiplantae; Streptophyta; Magnoliopsida; Brassicales; Brassicaceae.
AGGGAUAAUGAGUCGCUUUGAAGGUGGUUUGCUGACAAGCGAAGAGCGGGAUUUUGCUCCUCGUGAAUCCUUAAUCAAGCAUGCCAUUUUCAAAAUAAUUCCUGAAAGUUUCAAAGCAGUUUGUAAGAGGCCAACAAAAUAACCUUUUCUUCUAUUAUAUCACAUCUCAAAGGAACAAAUAGGUUCCCAUUCAGAGCCUUACCAAAAUCAUUAUCCACAUUAGCAGCAUGAAAUAUGCCACUGUAAAUGGAUCCAUUUUUUAGGUGAACUUCAACCUGAUGUCCAAUCUUACAGGUUGUGAAAUACAACAACCGCUCGUGAGAAGGGGUAUCCACACUUCCAGCUUCCCAGCCGUUCUCUGGUACAUACGUAACAACAAAUAAGAAAUUUCAGAUCAUGUUGUUAAUGUUAGAUCAAAAUAAAGAUAUAAAUGUAUAGAUAUAUAUAUACAAUACCUGUAAUGUUCACAGACGGCUGUGCCAUAUUCACCCCUGCCUCCUUUUCAACUAUUCUGUGUGGAAAUCCAUUGGGUGAAGAGCUUGAGAGAAG